UGGCAAAGCUAGGCUAGGUCUUGGAGGCUGGUGUAAGGCGAUGUGUGUGGAGGCAGGAGGCUGAUGGAGAGACUGGGGGGAAGAAAAGCCGAAAUGGAUUCACAGUGCCUUGGAUGGAGGAUGAGAGGGGAACGGCAAGCUCCUUCAACUCAUUCUGUCCGGUGAGAAGUGAUCAAGCUUGGGCUGACAAGAGGCUCAGGGAGCCCUCACGUUCUUUGCUUUUUUACCUGCCAAUCAAACUGCUACAAGACAACACCCUGAUCUGGCAUGGACAU
Oryctolagus cuniculus (rabbit) is the source of this 275-nucleotide long non-coding RNA. It matches the Rfam family "SOX2 overlapping transcript exon 3". Rfam says of the family: SOX2 overlapping transcript (SOX2OT) is a long non-coding RNA, containing at least 5 exons. The SOX2 gene, an important regulator of neurogenesis, lies within one of the introns of SOX2OT. NCBI's taxonomy places the organism in Eukaryota, Metazoa, Chordata, Mammalia, Lagomorpha, Leporidae. The record is from Rfam.